Molecule: ribosomal RNA, 494 nt
Filed under: uncultured bacterium
Lineage: Bacteria
Description: partial 16S ribosomal RNA
Rfam family: Bacterial small subunit ribosomal RNA
Source: RNAcentral
GACGAACGCUGGCGGCGUGCUUAACACAUGCAAGUCGAACGGUGAAGCGCCUUCCUUUUUGGUGGGUGUGGAUGAGUGGCGAACGGGUGAGUAGCACGUGAGUAACCUGCCCCCUUCUUCUGGAUAACCGCAUGAAAGUGUGGCUAAUACGGGAUAUUCUGGGUCUGUCGCAUGAUGGGUCUGGGAAAGAUAUUGUUUCGGUGGGGGAUGGGCUCGCGGCCUAUCAGCUUGUUGGUGGGGUGAUGGCCUACCAAGGCGGUGACGGGUAGCCGGCCUGAGAGGGUGGACGGUCACACUGGGACUGAGACACGGCCCAGACUCCUACGGGAGGCAGCAGUGGGGAAUAUUGCACAAUGGGCGCAAGGCUGAUGCAGCGACGCCGCGUGAGGGAUGGAGGCCUUCGGGUUGUGAACCUCUUUCGCCAGUGAAGCAGGCCUGCCUCGUUUGUGGGUGGGUUGACGGUAGCUGGAUAAGAAGCGCCGGCUAACUACGUG